This 301-nucleotide ribosomal RNA is filed under the name uncultured bacterium. RNAcentral's name for it is "partial 16S ribosomal RNA". It matches the Rfam family "Bacterial small subunit ribosomal RNA", at positions 509 to 807 of the family's 1533-position model. The record is from RNAcentral.
CAGCCGCUGCGGGAAUACAGAGGGUGCGAGCGUUAAUCGGAUUUACUGGGCGUAAAGCGUGCGUAGGCGGCUUCUUAAGUCGGAUGUGAAAUCCCUGAGCUUAACUUAGGAAUUGCAUUCGAUACUGGGAAGCUAGAGUAUGGGAGAGGAUGGUAGAAUUCCAGGUGUAGCGGUGAAAUGCGUAGAGAUCUGGAGGAAUACCGAUGGCGAAGGCAGCCAUCUGGCCUAAUACUGACGCUGAGGUACGAAAGCAUGGGGAGCAAACAGGAUUAGAUACCCCCGUAGUCCCUGUCUCUUAUAC